UGCAACAAGCAGGGAGGGGGGGACAAAAAAAUAUUUAUUUAAAAAAUAUAUAUUUUUUUGUCCCCCCCUCCCUGCUUGUUGCCUGGCCAGGGAG
Molecule: non-coding RNA, 94 nt
Organism: Pelobates cultripes (western spadefoot toad)
Lineage: Eukaryota; Metazoa; Chordata; Amphibia; Anura; Pelobatidae
Source: the annotation of a GenBank genome assembly